RNAcentral lists this ribosomal RNA (839 nucleotides) under uncultured Bacteroidota bacterium. Its description in RNAcentral is "bacterial SSU rRNA". It matches the Rfam family "Bacterial small subunit ribosomal RNA", at positions 1 to 826 of the family's 1533-position model. Lineage: Bacteria; Pseudomonadati; Bacteroidota. The record is from RNAcentral.
UGGAUCCAGACUUUGAUCAUGGCUCAGGAUGAACGCUAGCUACAGGCUUAACACAUGCAAGUCGAGGGGAAACGAUAUUGGAAGCUUGCUUCCGAUAGGCGUCGACCGGCGCACGGGUGAGUAACGCGUAUCCAACCUGCCCAUCACUUGGGGAUAACCUUGCGAAAGUAAGACUAAUACCCAAUGAUAUCUCAAGAAGACAUCUGAAUGAGAUUAAAGAUUUAUCGGUGAUGGAUGGGGAUGCGUCUGAUUAGCUUGUUGGCGGGGUAACGGCCCACCAAGGCGACGAUCAGUAGGGGUUCUGAGAGGAAGGUCCCCCACAUUGGAACUGAGACACGGUCCAAACUCCUACGGGAGGCAGCAGUGAGGAAUAUUGGUCAAUGGGCGAGAGCCUGAACCAGCCAAGUAGCGUGCAGGAUGACGGCCCUAUGGGUUGUAAACUGCUUUUAUAAGGGAAUAAAGUGAGUCUCGUGAGGCUUUUUGCAUGUACCUUAUGAAUAAGGACCGGCUAAUUCCGUGCCAGCAGCCGCGGUAAUACGGAAGGUCCGGGCGUUAUCCGGAUUUAUUGGGUUUAAAGGGAGCGUAGGCCGGAGAUUAAGCGUGUUGUGAAAUGUAGAUGCUCAACAUCUGCACUGCAGCGCGAACUGGUUUCCUUGAGUACGCACAAAGUGGGCGGAAUUCGUGGUGUAGCGGUGAGAUGCUUAGAUAUCACGAAGAACUCCGAUUGCGAAGGCAGCUCACUGGAGCGCAACUGACGCUGAAGCUCGAAAGUGCGGGUAUCGAACUAGGAUUAGAUACCCUGGUAGUCCGCACGGUAAACGAUGGAUGCCCGCUGUUGG